UACGUAGGGUGCGAGCGUUAAUCGGAAUUACUGGGCGUAAAGCGUGCGCAGGUGGUUCGCUAAGACAGAUGUGAAAGCCCCGGGAUCAACCUGGGAACUGCGUUUGUGACUGGCGGGCUAGAGUGCGGAAGAGGGAGGUGGAAUUCCACGUGUAGCAGUGAAAUGCGUAGAGAUGUGGAGGAACACCGAUGGCGAAGGCAGCCUCCUGGUCUAGCACUGACGCUCAUGCACGAAAGCGUGGGGAGCAAACAGG
This 253-nucleotide ribosomal RNA is filed under the name uncultured bacterium. RNAcentral's name for it is "partial 16S ribosomal RNA". It matches the Rfam family "Bacterial small subunit ribosomal RNA", at positions 524 to 776 of the family's 1533-position model. The record is from RNAcentral.